Lates calcarifer (barramundi perch) is the source of this 1064-nucleotide long non-coding RNA. RefSeq lists it as uncharacterized. The record is from RefSeq and is a predicted model, not a curated record. The transcript has 3 exons. Lineage: Eukaryota; Metazoa; Chordata; Actinopteri; Centropomidae.
GUGGACGGGGCGGGGCGUCCCGUAGUAGUUCCCUGUGAUUGGACAGAGAAAGAGGGAAAAAACUGACCUGUUAAAGGGGAUUGGUCUGGAACAUCACACCUGCUCAGGGCCAAUCCACUGUUUUGCUGUGGGUGCGUUUGUUUUUUGUACCUUUGAACUUGCCGCUCUCCAGCAGAGCCCCGGACUCCUCCAGAGAGAAAAACUCCUCGAUGGAGACAAAGUUGUAGUCCACACCUGAGAUCUCCCCGUCCCGAGGCUGCCGGGUCGUACCUGCAGGGAGGGGCACCGUGAUGUCAUCACACAGAACAAGAUGAAACAGGAUUAAAGAGAAACAGAUGGAGGAUGUAUCUGAUGAAUCUGUUGUUUUUAUUGCUCACUCUCUGGUCAAUCUGAGCUCUGUGUUUUUCCUCUGGGUCAUGUUUACUCUCCACUCACAGGUUCAGCGUUUCACUUCCUGUAAUCAUUAACAGCUCUGAUUCAAACCUGCUGCUCCUUCAUCCAACAGCUCAGGUUGAACUUUCACCUUGAAGUCCGUCAGUGUUUACAUUCAUUUAGAAUCAACCUGACGAAUGACUGUUGUAGUUUCAGUGUCUGUCUGCCCUGCUCCUCUCCUCUGGAUACACAACAAUUGAGGCUCGACUUUCAAAAAUGAUCUCACAAAUCAAAACCAAACAUCUGUCAGAAAAAUCACAAUUAGAUAUUUUCCCAAAAGCGUUCAGCUCUAGUUUGUAGUGAAGACGGAACAACAAGAAUCAGGUAAAGAAAAAGAAUUGAAAACUGAUCUGAGGCAGGUUUAUACAGGAUUUCUACUUCCUGUUAUUCUACUAUUAUUCAGGUAAACACAUGGGCAAAUUCUAGUUUAACUUAUUGGUGUACAGGUGUGUAGAGGUGUGUGUGCAGGUGUGUACAGGUGUGUGUACAGGUGUGUAGAGGUGUGUGUACAGGUGUGUACAGGUGUGUGUACAGGUGUGUAGAGGUGUGUGUACAGGUGUGUAGAGGUGUGUGUGCAGGUGUGUACAGGUGUGUGUACAGGUGUGUAGAGGUGUGUGUGCAGGUGUGUACAG